Molecule: ribosomal RNA, 2671 nt
Filed under: Komagataeibacter nataicola
Lineage: Bacteria; Pseudomonadati; Pseudomonadota; Alphaproteobacteria; Acetobacterales; Acetobacteraceae
Description: bacterial LSU rRNA
Rfam family: Bacterial large subunit ribosomal RNA
Source: RNAcentral
AUAAGGGCAUUCGGUGGAUGCCUUGGCACCAGGAGGCGAUGAAAGACGUGGCACGCUGCGAAAAGCCAUGGGGAGCCGCGAGCAGGCUUUGAUCCGUGGAUAUCUGAAUGGGGCAACCCACCCAGCGAUGGGUAUCAUGUUCUGAAUACAUAGGGACAUGAGGCGAACCCGGGGAACUGAAACAUCUAAGUACCCGGAGGAAAAGACAUCAAUUGAGAUUCUGCUAGUAGUGGCGAGCGAACGCGGAACAGGCCAGUGGCUGUUUUUGAAGAAGCAGAACGGAAUGGAAAGUCCGGCCAGAGCGGGUGAUAGCCCCGUAUGCGUAGUGUCAGGAACAGUCCUUGAGUAGGGCGGGACACGUGAAAUCCUGUCUGAACAUGGGGGGACCACCCUCCAAGCCUAAAUACUCCCUGGUGACCGAUAGUGAACAAGUACCGUGAGGGAAAGGUGAAAAGCACCCCGACGAGGGGAGUGAAAGAGACCUGAAACCGAAUGCCUACAAGCAGUCGGAGCCUCUUAUGGGGUGACGGCGUACCUUUUGUAUAAUGGGUCAGCGAGUUUCUGUUUGCAGCAAGCUUAAGCCGUUAGGUGUAGGCGCAGCGAAAGCGAGUCUGAAUAGGGCGACGAGUUGCUGGCAGAAGACCCGAAACCGAGUGAUCUAGCCAUGGCCAGGCUGAAGGUGCGGUAACACGCACUGGAGGGCCGAACCCACGCCUGUUGAAAAAGUCGGGGAUGAGCUGUGGCUAGGGGUGAAAGGCCAAUCAAACUCGGAAAUAGCUGGUUCUCCGCGAAAUCUAUUGAGGUAGACCGUCGAGUAUUACCCCGGGGGGUAGAGCACUGGAUGGGCUAGGGGGGCCCAAAGCCUUACCAAACCUAACCAAACUCCGAAUACCCGGAAGUAUGAGCUCGGCAGACAGACAGUGGGUGCUAAGGUCCAUUGUCGAGAGGGAAACAGCCCAGACCACCAGCUAAGGCCCCCAAAUCGUGGCUAAGUGGGAAAGGAUGUGAGGAUUCCAAAACAACCAGGAGGUUGGCUUAGAAGCAGCCAUCCUUUAAAGAAAGCGUAAUAGCUCACUGGUCUAAUAGAAACCUUGCGCCGAAAAUGUAACGGGGCUCAAGCCACGUGCCGAAGCUGUGGGUGCAUUCUAUGAAUGCGCGGUAGCGGAGCGUUCCGUAGGUCUGUGAAGGAGACGGGGUGACCCUCUCUGGAGAUAUCGGAAGUGCGAAUGCUGACAUGAGUAGCGACAAACAGUGCGAGAAACACUGUCGCCGAAAGUCCAAGGGUUCCUGCGCAAGGUUAAUCCGCGCAGGGUGAGCCGGCCCCUAAGGCGAGGGCGAAAGCCGUAGUCGAUGGAAACCGGGCAAAUAUUCCCGGGCCUGCCAGAAGUGACGAAUACAAUAUGUUGUCGGGUCUUAUCGGAUUGAUCCGGCUUUUGGAGUAUUCCAGGAAAUAGCUCUGGCAUAUAGACCGUACCCGAAACCGACACAGGUGGACUGGUAGAGAAUACCAAGGCGCUUGAGAGAACGAUGCUGAAGGAACUAGGCAAAUUACUUGCGUAACUUCGGGAUAAGCAAGACCCGUCAGUGGGCAACCAUCGGCGGGUGGCACAGACCAGGGGGUAGCGACUGUUUAGUAAAAACACAGGGCUGUGCGAAGUCGAGAGACGACGUAUACGGCCUGACGCCUGCCCGGUGCCGGAAGGUUAAGAGGAGGUGUGCAAGCACCGAAUUGAAGCCCCGGUAAACGGCGGCCGUAACUAUAACGGUCCUAAGGUAGCGAAAUUCCUUGUCGGGUAAGUUCCGACCUGCACGAAUGGCGUAACGACUUCCCCGCUGUCUCCAGCAUCGGCUCAGCGAAAUUGAAUUCCCCGUGAAGAUGCGGGGUACCCGCGGUCAGACGGAAAGACCCUAUGAACCUUUACUGCAGCUUUGCAGUGGCAUCAGAGACAUUCUGUGUAGGAUAGGUGGGAGGCUUUGAAACCGGGGCGCCAGUUCCGGUGGAGCCAUCCUUGAAAUACCACCCUGACUGUUUCUGAUGUCUAACCGAGGCCUGUUAGCCAGGUCCGGGACCCUGCAUGGUGGGCAGUUUGACUGGGGCGGUCGCCUCCCAAAGUGUAACGGAGGCGCGCGAUGGUGGGCUCAGGCCGGUCGGAAACCGGCUGUCGAGUGCAAUGGCAUAAGCCCGCCUGACUGUGAGAGUGACAGCUCGAUCAGAGACGAAAGUCGGCCAUAGUGAUCCGGUGGUCCCGCGUGGAAGGGCCAUCGCUCAACGGAUAAAAGGUACUCUAGCAGCCUGUCGGGUUGGGGUACCCUGUGAAGGGGUAAGGCUGUAGAGUGUCGCGAUGAGCCGCUUCAUCCCGUUUGACCGAUCCCAGCCGUAUCUUCUGCCGCCUGAUCUGACGUCGUGGCUUCCGGCUGACGAUAUGGCGCAUUUCAUUGUCGCAGCUGUUGAGCGGGUUCCGAUGAGUGCGUUCUGCGUGCCAGUGCGCACGGGAGGCAAGGCGCAGUAUCAUCCGCGCCUGAUGCUGGCCCUUCUGAUCUUCAGCUAUGCGAACGGGUUGUUUUCCUCACGCCGGAUCGAGCGGGCGACAUAUCGCGACAUCGGGGUACGCUUCGUGGCGGCGAACCUGCAUCCGGAUCAUGAUACGAUUGCGACCUUCCGCCGGACGAA